Molecule: ribosomal RNA, 301 nt
Filed under: Holosporaceae bacterium
Lineage: Bacteria; Pseudomonadati; Pseudomonadota; Alphaproteobacteria; Holosporales; Holosporaceae
Description: partial 23S ribosomal RNA
Rfam family: Bacterial large subunit ribosomal RNA
Source: RNAcentral
AACGUCGUGAGACAGUUUGGUCCCUAUCUGCCGUGGGUGUUCGAGAAUUGAGAGGAGCUGCUCCUAGUACGAGAGGACCGGAGUGGACAUGUCACUAGUGUACCGGUUGUGACGCCAGUUGCAGCGCCGGGUAGCCAUAACAUGGAAGAGAUAACCGCUGAAAGCAUCUAAGCGGGAAACUCGCCUCAAAAUAAGUUCUCGCCAUCAGAGCUGUGGAAGACUACCACGUUGAUAGGCCGAGUGUGGAAGUGCAGUAAUGCAUGUAGCUAAUCGGUACUAAUAGCUCAAUUGGCUUGAUACA